GGGUGAGUAAUGCCUAGGAAUCUGCCUAGUAGUGGGGGACAACGUUUCGAAAGGAACGCUAAUACCGCAUACGUCCUACGGGAGAAAGUGGGGGAUCUUCGGACCUCACGCUAUUAGAUGAGCCUAGGUCGGAUUAGCUAGUUGGUAGGGUAAAGGCCUACCAAGGCGACGAUCCGUAACUGGUCUGAGAGGAUGAUCAGUCACACUGGAACUGAGACACGGUCCAGACUCCUACGGGAGGCAGCAGUGGGGAAUAUUGGACAAUGGGCGAAAGCCUGAUCCAGCCAUGCCGCGUGUGUGAAGAAGGCCUUCGGGUCGUAAAGCACUUUAAGUUGGGAGGAAGGGCUCAUAGCGAAUACCUGUGAGYUUUGACGUUACCAACAGAAUAAGCACCGGCUAACUUCGUGCCAGCAGCCGCGGUAAUACGAAGGGUGCAAGCGUUAAUCGGAAUUACUGGGCGUAAAGCGCGCGUAGGUGGCUUGAUAAGUUGGAUGUGAAAUCCCCGGGCUCAACCUGGGAACUGCAUCCAAAACUGUCUGGCUAGAGUGCGGUAGAGGGUAGUGGAAUUUCCAGUGUAGCGGUGAAAUGCGUAGAUAUUGGAAGGAACACAGUGCGAAGCGACUACCUGGACUGACACUGGACACUGAAGUGCGAAGCGGUGGGG
RNAcentral lists this ribosomal RNA (664 nucleotides) under Pseudomonas oryzihabitans. RNAcentral describes it as "bacterial SSU rRNA". Lineage: Bacteria; Pseudomonadati; Pseudomonadota; Gammaproteobacteria; Pseudomonadales; Pseudomonadaceae. The record is from RNAcentral.